RNAcentral lists this ribosomal RNA (569 nucleotides) under uncultured Pezizomycotina. Its description in RNAcentral is "SSU rRNA". It matches the Rfam family "Eukaryotic small subunit ribosomal RNA", at positions 185 to 761 of the family's 1831-position model. The record is from RNAcentral. Lineage: Eukaryota; Fungi; Ascomycota.
GCCCUUGGAAGGGAUGUAUUUAUUAGAUUAAAAACCAAUGCCCUUCGGGGCUCACUGGUGAUUCAUGAUAACUCCUCGAAUCGCAUGGCCUUGUGCCGGCGAUGGUUCAUUCAAAUUUCUUCCCUAUCAACUUUCGAUGUUUGGGUAUUGGCCAAACAUGGUUGCAACGGGUAACGGAGGGUUAGGGCUCGACCCCGGAGAAGGAGCCUGAGAAACGGCUACUACAUCCAAGGAAGGCAGCAGGCGCGCAAAUUACCCAAUCCCGACACGGGGAGGUAGUGACAAUAAAUACUGAUACAGGGCUCUUUUGGGUCUUGUAAUUGGAAUGAGUACAAUUUAAAUCCCUUAACGAGGAACAAUUGGAGGGCAAGUCUGGUGCCAGCAGCCGCGGUAAUUCCAGCUCCAAUAGCGUAUAUUAAAGUUGUUGUGGUUAAAAAGCUCGUAGUUGAACCUUGGGCCUGGCUGGCCGGUCCGCCUCACCGCGUGUACUGGUCCGGCCGGGCCUUUCCCCCUGUGGAACCCCAUGCCCUUCACUGGGUGUGGCGGGGAACCAGGACUUUUACAAGGGC